RNAcentral lists this long non-coding RNA (1118 nucleotides) under Homo sapiens (human). RNAcentral's name for it is "non-protein coding lnc-TXNRD3-1:1". Lineage: Eukaryota; Metazoa; Chordata; Mammalia; Primates; Hominidae. The record is from RNAcentral.
AUGGACUUCCAGCAUCGCACUGGGGGCAAGACCAGGAGCAGGGGCAUGGCCUCCUCUGAGAGCAAUCAUGACCGCAGGGAACACCUCUGGCAGCUGGCCCUGGAGACCAUCGACAUCAAUAAGGACCCAUACUUAAUGAAAAACCACCUGGGCCCCUAAGAAUGCAAGUGCUGCCUGAUGCUUCUCAACAAGAAGGGGAGCUAUCUGGCACAUACCCAGGGGAAGAAGCACCAGACCAACCUGGCCUGGCGAGCAGCCAAGGAGGCUAAGGAGGUGGCAUCAUGCUGUGCCACUGCUUCAUGUCUGCAUACGAACAGAGGAUCAAGCCCCUGGACCAGUGCUGGCAUGACUUGCUGAUGGCUGCCGAGCCCUACGAGACCAUCACCUUCAAGGUGCCGAGCAGGGAGAUCAACAAGGUGGAAGGCACAUUCUGGACACACUGGAACCAGGAGACCAAGCAGUUCUUCCUCCAGUUCCACUUUAAGAUGGAGAAGCCCCAGCCUCUCCACUGGACCCCUGGGGUGAAGCGACCUCCACCCCUGCUGAUGAACGAUCUGCCCCCUUGGCCGCCGCUGUCUGAGUCUUUGCCACUGCCCCUUCCAGGAGGUCUGCCUCUGCCACCCAUGUCCCCCACAGGGCCUGCACCCUCAGGGCCCCUGGGACCACCUCAGCUGCCCCCACCAGCUCCAGGGGUCCGCCCCCCAGCCCCAGUGGUGCAAUCCCACAUCUGGGGUCCAUCCUCCAGCCCCCGGGGUUCACCCAUCAGCCCCCGGAGUCCACCCACCAGCUCAUGGGGUUCACCCACCAGCCCCAGGGGUCCAUCCUCCCCUAUCAGUGGGGGUUCACCCCCAGGCCCCAGGGGUGCACCCAGCAGCCCCUGCCAUUCACAUUCACCCUGGGAAUGCACCCACCAGACCCAGGGAUGUAACCUCAGGCCCUGGGGGUCCACCCCCAAUCUCCUGGGGUCCAUCCGUCAGUUCCUGGGGUCCAUCUUCAGCCUCCUGGAGUUUACCCCUCAAAUCCUGGGUACACCCCCCAACUCCCAUGCCUCCAAUGCUGAGGCCCCCCUCCCCUCCAAAGGCGCAGGGAACAUACGUCCCCCUCCCCCAACCAACUGA